CCGGAUCCUCAUUGCAACCCUGCAGAAGUAGGCACAACUGUCUCCAUCUCCUGGGUGAGGAAAUUGGGGCUCAGGGAGGUCACAUCACUUGCCCAGGGUCAUCCAACCGGAGCUUCCAGCCGACAAGUCAGACUUCCUGGCGGUGGCAGCAGCAGCCCCAGCAGGAGGGAGGAGGAGCAGAGGCCUGCAGGAGUGUGCUGAGGCAAAGGUGGCACAGGUACCACCUGUCCACUUGGCUCCUCUACCUCCCAACAGCUGAGGAACCUCAGAAGAUCCAAGCCCCUCCUCCAGGACCCCUCCUCCCCCAGGGCUGGCUCCAGCCUCUAAGUGGAGGUGGGCAAGUGAAUAGACUCCCAGGAUGCUGGGGCCAGCUUUCUGCCCAGACCAGGCUGCUGUCAUACUGCUCCCACUUCAAGCAUCAAAAACGAACAGCAGCUGCC
Molecule: long non-coding RNA, 440 nt
Filed under: Equus caballus (horse)
Lineage: Eukaryota; Metazoa; Chordata; Mammalia; Perissodactyla; Equidae
Description: lncRNA (ENSECAG00000047326.1)
Source: RNAcentral